AUUGAACGCUGGCGGAAUGCUUAACACAUGCAAGUCGAGCGGGGUGUAGCAAUACACCUAGCGGCGGACGGGUGAGGAAUACAUAGGAAUCUGCCUCAGAGCGGGGGAUAGCCCGGGAAACCCGGAUUAAUACCGCAUGAUGUCGCAAGACCAAAGUGGGGACCGCAAGGCCCCACACUCUGAGAUGAGCCUAUGUCCGAUUAGCUAGUUGGCGGGUAAUAGCCCACAAGCGACGAUCGUAGCUGGUCUGAGAGGACGAUCAGCCACACCGGAACUGAGACACGGUCCGGACUCCUACGGGAGGCAGCAGUGGGGAAUAUUGGACAAUGGCGCAAGCCUGAUCCAGC
RNAcentral lists this ribosomal RNA (347 nucleotides) under uncultured bacterium. RNAcentral describes it as "bacterial SSU rRNA". It matches the Rfam family "Bacterial small subunit ribosomal RNA", at positions 30 to 392 of the family's 1533-position model. The record is from RNAcentral.